Astyanax mexicanus (Mexican tetra) is the source of this 2134-nucleotide long non-coding RNA. RefSeq lists it as uncharacterized. The record is from RefSeq and is a predicted model, not a curated record. The transcript is spliced from 5 exons. NCBI's taxonomy places the organism in Eukaryota, Metazoa, Chordata, Actinopteri, Characiformes, Acestrorhamphidae.
UCUGGUUAUAAUUUACUGGCAUUUGAAACCUGGGUUACACUGUCAUGUUUUAUUUAUUAAGAAGAAUAAUGUAAAUGUUAUUCCAAGCACUAGUUACUUCUAAAAUUCAUAAAAUACUGUUUGCAUCCUAUGUAUUAUCAAGUGGCUGGCAGUACCUCACCCUCCCUACAAACUAGUAGUGUAAAGGAUAACAGAAUAUAUAUGAUUCCAUACAGUACAACCCCACAGUUGGGGAUUUAAAGAUUAUCCUGCAGUUCACAUGAGGUUUGACCUGCUUUAAGUACAGUUUUACUGCAGUUGCUUUUUUGCAUUAACAAAUCCUGCAAUUUGAGUUGCAGUGAAAAAAAUACAAAUUGAGCUGUUUAUCCAUAUUAUCCAUUUAUUUCUACAGGUAAGCUUUAGUGAGCUACUGAGAAUUAGCACACAUUAGCCAGUUAGUUACAGGUAUUGAUUGGGGCAUUAGCUAGCUAGCUGUGUGUGUUGGUGCUUUAGCUAGAUAGCUAAGUGUGUUUUGGUGCUUUAGCUAGCUACAUGUGUUGGUGCUUUAGCUACCUAGGUGUUUUGGUGCUUUAGCUAGGUAGCUACAUGUGUUGGUGCAUUAUGUAGGGUGACUAAAUGUCCGUAUUUCCCGGGACAUGUCCGUAUUUCGCGUCCUAUCCCGGGCGUCCCGGGUUUUUUCAAAAAGUGAGGAAAUGUCCUGGUUUUUAAAUUACCUUCAUUGGACCAUUAAAUGUACAGGCACUAGGGCACUGCGCACGGUGCUGCGUGUUACAUAAUCCCUGAGUCCUGUCAGUGAGAGCAGCCCUCUUCUUGAGGAGCCGCUCGCUGCAGCCUGUAGGAAGGCGGAGUUGGACAUCCAACCCCGCCCACAUCCAACUCCGCCCAUGUCCAACUCCGCCUUACGUCUAAAGCAACACCCACCUUACGUCCGUCACGAACGCCUACAUUUACUCCAGGUAAACAGGAAUUGUAGCCGAGAAAGCAGCUAAAGCAUCUAUCUGAUUUAUAUCUCCGGUUAUGGCGCAUCCAACACAUGUCCAGGCCACUCCUGACCCUUCACGGUUUGGCCAGUGUGGUGUUUUCAAAUGCCCCUGCUUCAGUUUUGACACUGACCAGCGAUUUAAUAACAGCCUACAUCUACAAAACCAUAUCAAACAAGCAGUCGAGAAUAACGGUAUGGGGAAGUAUUUCUUUAAACAGAGAGAGAGAUAUUGAUUUUAUUGGCUAUAACAAAUAAACAUGUAAAUGUAAUAUCUUGAAUCAACAAAUGCACUUACAUCUUACACUCAAUUGAUGGGCAUAAUGAGUUGAAGAAUAUUAAUAUUUAUAGGCUUAAUUGCAUGUUGUGUGCAUUUUGGUCUUACAGUUUCCUUCAUCUCUAAACUGCACACCUACAGCACACUUUUAUUGUGUCUAUUGCAGCCAUACAAUACUAUGCAAAGACCAGUUCAGACAUCAUGCAUCUCUGUGCAGCAGUGCAACCAAGACCAUUAUAGCAGAAGUGUUUAAUCCACAGACUGUUGCUACUUCUGAUGCACGUCCAGCUCCCCCUCUGCCAGCUACUCCUGAUACACCUUCUCCCAGUUCUGGUCUUGCUUCCUCUGUGCAUGGUAUUAAUUAUAUUAAUUAUUAUAUUUUCUCUCAGGAAAGUUCAGCAUGUUGAACGUGUGACUGAUGAAGGAGAUAGAAUGGGCAACGUCUCCUUUGAACAGAUACAGUUCUGGAUGAGGGUGACAAAGCUUUUUUAAAGCUGUCACUGGUUUGUCGUCUCUUCCGGGACAUUGUUUGGACAACAAUCAUUCCGGGCCCGGGCACAUUUCGAGUGGCUUGACAGUGUAGUGCCAUGAAAACAUCACAGUGCUGCAUGUAAAGACGAGUUUCGCAGGAUGUACGAACUGCAGUGCUGCCAGAACUGUCAAGAAACUUAUAAAGACUACAUACUGGGCUACGUUGGGCAUGGGAGACGAGGGGAGCUUGUGGCAUUUUACAGCGAAAACGAGCACCCUGGAUUCUGCAGCCAGCUUCAUGAAUGGCUGGGUGUGUGAGUGGCUGGGUGUGUGAGUGGCUGAGUGUGAGUGGCUGGGUGUUGCAUUUUUAAAUAAAGACUUCUGUAUUUGUUUGACCAAAGCAUGUA